CCUACGGGCGGCAGCAGUGAGGAAUAUUGGUCAAUGGCCGUAAGGCUGAACCAGCCAAGUAGCGUGAGGGAAGACUGCCCUAUGGGUUGUAAACCUCUUUUAUGCGGGGAUAAAGGUGUCCACGUGUGGAUGUUUGCAGGUACCGCAUGAAUAAGGACUGGCUAAUUCCGUGCCAGCAGCCGCGGUAAUACGGUAGGUCCGGGCGUUUUCCGGAUUUAUUGGGGUUAAAGGGAGCGUAGGCCGGUCUUUAAGCGUGCCGGGAAAUUUUGUGGCUCAACCAUGGGAGUGCGGCGCGAACUGGAGACCUUGAGUGCGCGGAAGGCAGGCGGAAUUCGUGGUGUAGCGGUGAAAUGCUUAGAUAUCACGAAGAACCCCGAUUGCGAAGGCAGCCUGCCGCAGCGUUACUGACGCUGAAGCUCGAAAGCGCGGGUAUCGAACAGGAUUAGAUACCCCAGUAGUC
RNAcentral lists this ribosomal RNA (460 nucleotides) under uncultured bacterium. Its description in RNAcentral is "partial 16S ribosomal RNA". It matches the Rfam family "Bacterial small subunit ribosomal RNA", at positions 338 to 795 of the family's 1533-position model. The record is from RNAcentral.